GUGAGGUGUGUAGGAGGGUGAGGUGUGUAGGAGGGUGAGGUGUGUAGGAGGGUUUGGUGUGUAGGAGGGUGAGGUGUGUAGGAGGGUGAGGUGUGUAGGAGGGUGAGGUGUGUAGGAGGGUGAGGUGUGUAGGUGGGUGAGGUGUGUAGGAGGGUGAGGUGUGUAGGAGGGUGAGGUGUGUAGGAGGGUUUGGUGUGUAGGAGGGUGAGGUGUGUAGGAGGGUGAGGUGUGUAGGAGGGUGAGGUGUGUAGGAG
Molecule: long non-coding RNA, 254 nt
Filed under: Homo sapiens (human)
Lineage: Eukaryota; Metazoa; Chordata; Mammalia; Primates; Hominidae
Description: HSALNT0338730
Source: RNAcentral